RNAcentral lists this ribosomal RNA (159 nucleotides) under Escherichia coli 3-267-03_S3_C2. RNAcentral's name for it is "partial 23S ribosomal RNA". It matches the Rfam family "Bacterial large subunit ribosomal RNA", at positions 53 to 212 of the family's 2925-position model. The record is from RNAcentral. Lineage: Bacteria; Pseudomonadati; Pseudomonadota; Gammaproteobacteria; Enterobacterales; Enterobacteriaceae.
AGGACGUGCUAAUCUGCGAUAAGCGUCGGUAAGGUGAUAUGAACCGUUAUAACCGGCGAUUUCCGAAUGGGGAAACCCAGUGUGAUUCGACACACUAUCAUUAACUGAAUCCAUAGGUUAAUGAGGCGAACCGGGGGAACUGAAACAUCUAAGUACCCC